UACGUAGGUGGCAAGCGUUGUCCGGAUUUACUGGGCGUAAAGGGCGUGCAGGCGGUUUGUUAAGUGCAGGGUGAAAGCUCCCGGCUCAACUGGGAGAGGGCCUUGCAUACUGGCAAGCUCGAGGGAGGCAGAGGAAAGUGGAAUUCCCGGUGUAGUGGUGAUAUGCGUAGAUAUCGGGAGGAACACCUGUGGCGAAGGCGGCUUUCUGGGCCUUACCUGACGCUGAGGCGCGAAAGCUAGGGGAGCAAACAGG
RNAcentral lists this ribosomal RNA (253 nucleotides) under uncultured bacterium. Its description in RNAcentral is "partial 16S ribosomal RNA". It matches the Rfam family "Bacterial small subunit ribosomal RNA", at positions 524 to 776 of the family's 1533-position model. The record is from RNAcentral.